CCUACGGGCGGCAGCAGUGGGGGAUAUUGCACAAUGGGGGGAACCCUGAUGCAGCGACGCCGCGUGUGGGCAGACGGUCCUCUGGCUUGUAAACCACUGUCCCCAGGGACGAAAAUGACGGUACCUGGGGAGGAAGCUCCGGCUAACUACGUGCCAGCAGCCGCGGUAAUACGUAGGGAGCGAGCGUUGUCCGGAAUUACUGGGUGUAAAGGGAGCGUAGGCGGGGAUGCAAGUUGGGUGUCAAAACUACCGGCUCAACUGGUAGUCGCACUCAAAACUGCAGCGCUUGAGUGAAGUAGAGGCAGGCGGAAUUCCUAGUGUAGCGGUGAAAUGCGUAGAUAUUAGGAGGAACACCAGUGGCGAAGGCGGCCUGCUGGGCUUGUACUGACGCUGAGGCUCGAAAGUGUGGGGAGCAAACAGGAUUAGAUACCCCUGUAGUC
This 440-nucleotide ribosomal RNA is filed under the name uncultured bacterium. RNAcentral's name for it is "partial 16S ribosomal RNA". It matches the Rfam family "Bacterial small subunit ribosomal RNA", at positions 338 to 795 of the family's 1533-position model. The record is from RNAcentral.